GAUGAAGAACGUAGCGAAAUGCGAUAAGUAAUGUGAAUUGCAGAAUUCAGUGAAUCAUCGAAUCUUUGAACGCACAUUGCGCCCCCUGGAAUUCCGGGGGGCAUGCCUGUUCGAGCGUCUCAGGGACGAACCCUCGCGCGGGUGUACGCGCGGUCGUGGCUGCGGUGGCGUGCCCGAGGCGGCGGCCACCGCGCUGGAAUCCAUGGGCGGACGCCUGCCGCGUGGCCGAGCGUGAUAUGACGCAUUGGCGCUCGCACGCGGCGAGGCUGCCAGCCCUGGCCCGUCUGUCGGGCGGGGGAGAGCAAGACACGUGAACUCCUCGAAUCAGGUAGGGAUACCCGCUGAACUUAAGCAUAUCAUAAGCGGAGGA
RNAcentral lists this unclassified non-coding RNA (370 nucleotides) under soil metagenome. Its description in RNAcentral is "partial contains 5.8S ribosomal RNA, internal transcribed spacer 2, and large subunit ribosomal RNA". The stretch from base 1 to 120 matches the Rfam family "5.8S ribosomal RNA", at positions 35 to 154 of the family's 154-position model. The record is from RNAcentral.